AGAGUUUGAUCAUGGCUCAGGACGAACGCUGGCGGCAUGCCUAAUACAUGCAAGUCGAGCGGACUAUCUGAGAAGCUUGCUUCUCAGAUAGUUAGCGGCGGACGGGUGAGUAACACGUAGGCAACCUGCCCUCAAGCUUGGGACAACUACCGGAAACGGUAGCUAAUACCGAAUAAUUGUUUUCUUCGCCUGAAGGAAACUGGAAAGAUGGAGCAAUCUGUCACUUGGGGAUGGGCCUGCGGCGCAUUAGCUAGUUGGUGGGGUAACGGCUCACCAAGGCGACGAUGCGUAGCCGACCUGAGAGGGUGAUCGGCCACACUGGGACUGAGACACGGCCCAGACUCCUACGGGAGGCAGCAGUAGGGAAUCUUCCGCAAUGGGCGAAAGCCUGACGGAGCAAUGCCGCGUGAGUGAUGAAGGUUUUCGGAUCGUAAAGCUCUGUUGCCAGGGAAGAACGCUUGAGAGAGUAACUGCUCUCAAGGUGACGGUACCUGAGAAGAAAGCCCCGGCUAACUACGUGCCAGCAGCCGCGGUAAUACGUAGGGGGCAAGCGUUGUCCGGAAUUAUUGGGCGUAAAGCGCGCGCAGGCGGUCAUUUAAGUCUGGUGUUUAAUCCCGGGGCUCAACCCCGGAUCGCACUGGAAACUGGGUGACUUGAGUGCAGAAGAGGAGAGUGGAAUUCCACGUGUAGCGGUGAAAUGCGUAGAUAUGUGGAGGAACACCAGUGGCGAAGGCGACUCUCUGGGCUGUAACUGACGCUGAGGCGCGAAAGCGUGGGGAGCAAACAGGAUUAGAUACCCCCGUAGUCC
This 808-nucleotide ribosomal RNA is filed under the name uncultured bacterium. RNAcentral's name for it is "bacterial SSU rRNA". It matches the Rfam family "Bacterial small subunit ribosomal RNA", at positions 8 to 796 of the family's 1533-position model. The record is from RNAcentral.